ACGGCUCAGUAACACGUGGGUAACCUGCCCUAUGCUGGGGGAUAACCUCGGGAAACUGAGAAUAAUACCCCAUAGUUCACCACGCCUGGAACGGUGGGUGGAUGAAAGCUUCCGGCGGCAUAGGAUGGGCCUGCGGCGUAUCAGGUUGUAGGGGGUGUAAUGUACCCUCUAGCCAUCUACGCGUACGGGUGUUGGGAGACAUCGCCCGGAGAUGGAUUCUGAGACACGAAUCCAGACCCUACGGGGUGCAGCAGGCGCGAAAACUUGGCAAUGCGAGAAAUCGUGACCAGGGAACUCCAAGUGCAUCGGGUAAGACCGAUGCUUUUCUUGACUCUUCAAAGGUCUUGGAAUAAGGGGUGGGUAAGGACGGUGCCAGCCGCCGCGGUAAUACCGGCGCCUCAAGUGGUAGUCGCUUUUAUUGGGCCUAAAACGUCCGUAGCCGGUUUGGUACAUUCGUGGGUAAAUCAAGGCGCUCAACGUCUUGAAUUCUGCGAGCACGGCCAGACUUGGGACCGGGUGAGGUGUGGGGUACUCUCAGGGUAGGGGUAAAAUCCUGUCAUCCUGAGAGGACCACCUGUUGCGAAGGCGCCACACUAGAACGGAUCCGACGGUCAGGGACGAAGCCUAGGGGCACGAACCGGAUUAGAUACCCGGGUAGUCCUAGGUGUAAACGCUGUGGACUUGAUGUUGGGAGUGCUCCGAGCACCCUCAGUGUCGAAGCGAAGGUGAUAAGUCCACUGCCUGGGGAGUACGGUCGCAAGGCUGAAACUUAAAGGAAUUGGCGGGGGAGCAC
RNAcentral lists this ribosomal RNA (793 nucleotides) under uncultured archaeon. RNAcentral's name for it is "bacterial SSU rRNA". It matches the Rfam family "Archaeal small subunit ribosomal RNA", at positions 85 to 879 of the family's 1478-position model. The record is from RNAcentral.